AUUUACCUACGGGGCGCAGCAGUGAGGAAUAUUGGUCAAUGGGCGAGAGCCUGAACCAGCCAAGUCGCGUGAAGGAUGACGGCCCUACGGGUUGUAAACUUCUCUUGUCAGGGAGCAAUUGGGUCCACGCGUGGGCUUAGCGAGAGUACCUGAAGAAAAAGCAUCGGCUAACUCCGUGCCAGCAGCCGCGGUAAUACGGAGGAUGCGAGCGUUAUCCGGAUUUAUUGGGUUUAAAGGGUGCGUAGGCGGAAUAUCAAGUCAGCGGUAAAAAUUCGGGGUU
This 280-nucleotide ribosomal RNA is filed under the name uncultured bacterium. RNAcentral's name for it is "partial 16S ribosomal RNA". It matches the Rfam family "Bacterial small subunit ribosomal RNA", at positions 333 to 609 of the family's 1533-position model. The record is from RNAcentral.